This 199-nucleotide long non-coding RNA is filed under the name Trifolium pratense (red clover). RNAcentral's name for it is "long non-coding RNA (TPRA_LNC007526)". Lineage: Eukaryota; Viridiplantae; Streptophyta; Magnoliopsida; Fabales; Fabaceae. The record is from RNAcentral.
CCAGAAAAUAAUAAUGGGAACUUUAUUCUCAGGUAUUUUAGAAAAAACAUGUUUGGUUCAUAUUAACUACAUUCCUAGGAAUUAUUGAUAAAAGUAGGUAAAAGAGAAGUUAUUGGAAGUUAUUUAAAAUGUAUUCCCAUUUUCAUGGGAACUUUUCUUUCCCACCCAUUUCCUUGGGAAUAAAAUCAUGGGAAUAAGA